Equus caballus (horse) is the source of this 5298-nucleotide long non-coding RNA. The record is from Ensembl. NCBI's taxonomy places the organism in Eukaryota, Metazoa, Chordata, Mammalia, Perissodactyla, Equidae.
CCCCAGAGAGUUUUGUCAUCUGGAGAGUGGAGCUGGUCCAGCCAGAGUCUUGGGGACAUUUACUUUGGAGGUGAGGAGAAGGUUUGUUAGGUGUUGGCAGGCCCCCUGGCAGCAGCAGGGGGAGGAGGGCAUCCAGCUCCCUAACGAGAGCUUGGCCAGAUGGAAGGUCAAGGCCCUGCCAAGAGGGCUGGGGCCAGGCUGGGGAGCCCCCACUGGAAACUGGAGAGUCGAUGAGGAAGAGGGGCAGACGUCAGGUCACUGGAAUGGACUGGGACAGACAGCUAUGUUGGGAAACAAGCAGAAAGAGCCUGAAGCCCCUGGGGAGGAGAACAGCUUGUAGAGCAAACAGUGAGCAGCACAGCGUGCCCUCCCGAAUGGAGCCAGGGUCAGAACAACGUGUCACUGCCACUUUGAUCUGGGAUUUGGAUCAGAAAGAACACAGGAUUUGGACUUUGCUCUGGUUUGGCUCUCCUCUCUGCCGCCUGCUGGUCUCAUGACGUAGGAUAAGUUAUUUGACCCUCUGAGCCUGCGUAUCUUCAUCUGUAGAGCGGGAGGGUGCAAGCUGGAGCCUGCACUAGGAUUUGGCCGUGUCUGGGGAGCUGCGGGGACCCCCAGGGGUCGGGGAGCCUGCCUCUCUUGACGAGCUGCGAGGAGCCAAGCACGUGAGCUCACCAAGUGGCCAAGUGUCCGUGUGGGAGAAAGGAGCAGCCUUGGGCACACUGUGGUGACGGUGGCUGAAUCUAUCCUUGGCACUCCCUCAUGUGGAGUCCUUGUCCGAUUCCUGGGCAGGGCCGUCACUAAGAGCUAAAAGAAGUGUUUGCUGAAUACUCUAUAAGAUGCUGCGGUACAGGGUCGCUGUGCUGGGACCCCCCCAGUGAGCAUACGGGAGAGGAGGACGCUUUGCGUGGGUGAGACGGCAGGGCAGGGAAGGGCAUGCCUGGCGCCUGGGGGUAGGACACCCACCGCAGGGGCUCCCCAAAAGUAUGGGGGAAGGCGCUUUGCUGGGAUUAAGUUCUACGUGACAGAUGGUGGUAACAAACUAACAUUUGGAUUAUUAGUCCCGACGUGGCUUCAUUUGCCCCACAUGAGGUGAGAGAAUCUUGGUUAAUAUCUAUCGCAUGGGGAUCGAAGAAGAUGUUCCAAGGCAUGAGCCUGGGCAUUGGGAGUAUGCACCCAAUGUCAGACCCCCUCAGAGACCACCCAUGGACCCACGGGACCCUUGGAGGACUGCUCAGGACACCCCCCCCACCCCCACCAUUCGUUUGGGGGAUUGAACAGCAUUCCCGUGGCAAACAUUUUUAAUUAAUAAGUAACCUAACACAGAUCUCUGAGUACUUACUACGUGCAAGUAAGGUUUACCUGCUAAGAGGGAUUUGAAUUAUUGUUUUUUCUCAGCACUUUACAGUUUACAAACUACUUCAAUAUACAUUUUAUUCACAUUCAUCUUCACAACAACCUAAUGGUGUAGGAUCCCCAUUUACAGAUGAGAAGAUUGAGUUUCAAAGAGGCUAAGUAAGGGCCGGCCUGGUGGCGCAGCGGUUGGGUGCACACAUUCCGCUUCGGCGGCCCGAGGUUCGCCAGUUCGGAUCCCGGGUGCGGACACGGCACUGCUUGGCAAGCCAUGCUGUGGUAGGCAUCCCACGUAUAAAGUAGAGGAAGAUGGGCACGGAUGUGAGCUCAGGGCGAGUCUUCCUAAGCAAAAAGAGGAGGAUUGGCAGCAGAUGUUAGCUCAGGGCUAAUCUUCCUCAAAAAAAAGAGGUUAAGUAAUUUAGCCAUAAUAACCCAACCAGUACGAGGUGUAGCUGGACUCAAACCCAUUCUCGUUCUUUGUGGGUUGCUGGGACCAAGCAAAUGACAGAACGAGGGGGAACCAGCAAGUACGAAGACCCGCGGCUGUGACGGGGAGAUCUGGAGAGGCUGAAGAUCGUUGUGGCUGGAUGUCUGUCGGGGAGAAGUCGGCUGGGCCCCGAGCUCGAUCUAACCCCAGGGUGGAGGCUGGGGACACAUGGUAGGAAAGCAGGCGGCGGCGGAGAGGGCCGGCUCAGGGGCCACGCCUGUGCCCAGGAGCCGCCUGGCUCGUCCGGGAGAAUUUUCACGGGCCUUUCAAAAGGAGACCGCACCUCAUGGCCCCCACGUCUCUGAGGUCACAGCAGAGGUGGCUUCGCUCCUCUUGCUGUGUCUGAGCCAUCCAAAUCACAGCGUCUGUACCCCAAUCAUUCCUAAUUCUUCUUGGAGAAUUAUUUAUAACAUUCUAAAAGUAUGCAAAGCCACAGACUGAAAGGUGCCAAUAUUAGAACAUUAGUUAGCCAGAAAUGAUGCUCAUUUCAAAUUGCAGGAAAAAAUGGAAGAGACAGGCAAAGAAAUGAGUAUUUAUGGGCCAGACUCGGUACUGGCACCUUUCACAUUCAUGAUCUCUUUUAAUACUCACUACUGCUAAUGUGGAAGAUGAUAUCAAUUCCGCUUUGCAGUUGAGGAAACAGACGUUCAGAGAGGUACAGUAACUUGGCCAAAGUCACACAGCUAAUAUGUGGCAAACCUAGGAUUUGAAUCCAGGUCCUACUUCCGAGUAUUUUCCAGUAUACGACAAUCUAUAGCCUGUGGAAUUCAGAUGGAAUUGAGAGAACCAAUAAACAGUUUAACUGACAGUAAAUUCUUGACCCUAGUUUUUAUUAAUUCAAGUUUACAAACCAUGCGGUUUCUAAAGGACCAGCUUCAGGAGCGUCCCUAAAUCAUCGCAGUACUCAGGAUUCACGGAGUUCCAGCAGUUCGAACUUGACACUGUGCGGGGUGCGCGGGGCCCGCGCGGAGCCUGAGUCCCGCGCGCUCAGCACUGCGCAGGCGCGGAGGGCGAGCCGGGAGCCGGCCUGCCGCCUCGGGCUUCGCCGAAGGAAGCGCAGGAGCCGGACUGUCCCGCCGCGGGGCUGCCUGGACGGCUCCGCGUCUGGCGAGUCAGCAGGAGACGCGCCCCCCGCCCGGCGGGAACGGGGUGCGGGGCGAGCGGCCUGCCCGACCUGCAGCCGGGCCGUGUUUGGAGCCGCGAGCGUGCCAGCCGGAGCCGGCGGAGCAGGCGAGGCGCGGCCGGCGCCGGGAGGACGUUUCCAGCCCGAGGCCGCUCUGCGCCGCUGCGGGGCCCCCGGCGCGCACGGCGGGUGCUUGGGUGGCGAAAGGCAGGCGCGUGUCCGGAGCGGCGCGGGCGCCAGCCUGGCCCUGCCGGCCCUCCCACGGCUGCCGGCGGUGUGGGAGCAGAGGCCGCAGCUGCGUGAACCAACUCGGCCUCGCUCCCUUCGCCAGCACGUGGCCCCGGACAACGCCCCUGCUGCCUGUGUCUUCAGCGCUCGAGGCGCAGGCCCUCGGCCGUCCAGGGGCAGGGGAGUUCUGCCGGGAGCUGCGGGGCGGGUGUGCAGCCCAGGGGAAAGGCCGGGACCCCACGGUCAGGCUGCGUUCCACAGCCUGGCCUUGCCAGGGUUGGGAGGGUGGGAGGAUGGCCUCCUCUGCUGGCGUCUACACUGCAAAACUCCGCGUCCCUGCACUGAACGGGACCGGGAGGCUGGCUUUGAGCAGGAAAGUAGAUCCUCCUGUCACCCCCUCGGGUGACCAAUCAGGAUGAACGUGCUCCCUGCUCAGACUUCCCACGGGGCCGCCUCCCUUUCUCCUCCUCCUCUUUCCCCCGCCCUUACCCGGGCUACUGCAGUGGCGGGGGCGCAGAAGGGGCCUUCCUUGCUGUCUGGCUUUUCCUGGAUUCCCUUGAUUAAACUAAACCUUCGAAUGAAUGUAAAAAACAAGCAAGCCGCAUGCGUGGGCCCUGCAGUCCCCUCCCCCAGAUUCUGACCCAAGGGCUUGGAGCAGGCUCAUUUUUAUUACCAGCCCAAGCGAUUCGGUUGCAGGUGAUUCUGGACCACACUUUGAAAAACACUGAGGCAGAAGUAAGCCAGCAAGUGCAUGGGAUACAUCCGAUGUGAGAGGUGCCCACUUCACUCUCUCAUGGCGGACUGGUUUCCUCCACCCUGCAGGAAAUGCAGCAGCCAAAUCCCUCCCUGCAUCCACCACACGUGCAGCUCCUGAAUUUCACAUCUUUGUUAACAACUUGCACCAAAGAUACUGCAGGCUUUCAGCCAGGAAGUCCCAGGCUCUUCAAAAGCCACGUCGGAAUCUCACCUCCUCUCUGUGUACCCCCACUGCCACCACAACGCUUCCGUUUCAACAGGGACCCGUUCCUGUGAUUUAAAUAAGUGGGUGAAUAAACAAGGGAAUAAGCAAGGGAAUGAGUGGACAGAAAGAAGAUGGGAAAAAAAUUCUCUUGCCCAAAAGUUGCCCCAAUGGAGGAACCAAGAAGAGAAGAGGAAGCGUCAGCCCUGAGAGGGCAUAUGCCGCCCUCCUCCCCUCCCCUCCACAGCCCUCUGCCCCCGUCCAAGCAGAUCACUGCCUGGAGGUGAGCGGUGCCCAGAAAAUGGGCAGGACCUGGAUAACGAUCAUAGUGGGCAGACAGAGACUGAAGCCCAGUCCCUGCUGUGCGACUUGGAAAUGUCAGUCAUGGCUUAAGGGGAGAGCCGAUUCAAGGAAACAGCCAAGUCAAGGUCGCCACAUGUGUGCGGCAUUUUAGGUUCAGCAAGCGAUCUGCAAAUUCAAAGCCUCGUAAAUGGGUUCCAAGAAAUCUGAUUUUAACAGCACCACUGACACAGGAGUGUGUCCCGGGACUCGCCCCUCACUGGGAUGAAGAUUGUCAUUGAUUUAUCAGGAGCAGAAACAGCAGGAUUCCACAUCACGUCCUGGAAGGCAGCCCAGGCAAAGGUGGAGAAUUAGCAGAUCGUUACUAUUAAUUCCAAUAUUACAACUCCCCAGGAGUCCUGCAGCAAAUCACAGGCUCUCUCACAGGAGUUUCUCCGUAUUUAAGUGGAGUUAAUGUUUUUUGUUUUUGUUUCUGUUUUUAAUGGAGCAUCAUUCCUAAUUAUGAAGACACUCUCAAAAUUACAAAUAUUCAUUAAUCACGCGCAAGUCCGGAACAUGCUAGGUCCUAUACGAGAUGCACAAAGCAGCAUUCUGGUGCUCAGGAAAGGAACGCGAACUCCGGAGUGCUGUGGACCAGGGCUCACACCCCAGCCCACCUCCUGUAAGGUGUGUGAGCUCGGGCAAAUCUCUCAGCCUCUCUGAGGCUUUAUUUUCUCCCCCACUAAGUAGAGGUAAUACCUACCCUGCAGAGAGCUCCAGCUGGGUAAUGUAAGUGUGAUGUUGCUCAAUCAAUAGCAGCGUUUAUUAUUGUCCAAACUAAAUUCCACCCAACAAGUGGAGUCAUGAUUUUUU